UGGGCGUAAGGGCUCGCAGGCGGUUUCUUAAGUCUGAUGUGAAAGCCCCCGGCUCAACCGGGGAGGGUCAUUGGAAACUGGGAAACUUGAGUGCACAAGAGGAGAGUGGAAUUCCACGUGUAGCGGUGAAAUGCGUAGAGAUGUGGAGGAACACCAGUGGCGAAGGCGACUCUCUGGUCUGUAACUGACGCUGAGGAGCGAAAGCGUGGGGAGCGAACAGGAUUAGAUACCCUGGUAGUCCACGCCGUAAACGAUGAUUGCUAACUGUUAGGCGGUUUCCCCCC
This 284-nucleotide ribosomal RNA is filed under the name Bacillus pumilus. Its description in RNAcentral is "partial 16S ribosomal RNA". It matches the Rfam family "Bacterial small subunit ribosomal RNA", at positions 555 to 839 of the family's 1533-position model. Lineage: Bacteria; Bacillati; Bacillota; Bacilli; Caryophanales; Bacillaceae. The record is from RNAcentral.